RNAcentral lists this ribosomal RNA (253 nucleotides) under uncultured bacterium. RNAcentral describes it as "partial 16S ribosomal RNA". It matches the Rfam family "Bacterial small subunit ribosomal RNA", at positions 524 to 776 of the family's 1533-position model. The record is from RNAcentral.
UACGGAGGGUGCAAGCGUUGUUCGGAAUUACUGGGCGUAAAGCGCACGCAGGCGGCGCAGCAAGUUCGACGUGAAAGCUCCCGGCUCAACUGGGAGAGGUCGUUGAAGACUGCUGUGCUUGAGGCAAUGAGAGGGGUGUAGAAUUCCCGGUGUAGUGGUGGAAUGCGUAGAUAUCGGGGGGAAUACCAGUGGCGAAAGCGGCACCCUAGCAUUAGCCUGACGCUCAUGUGCGAAAGCGUGGGGAGCGAACGGG